RNAcentral lists this ribosomal RNA (448 nucleotides) under uncultured bacterium. RNAcentral's name for it is "partial 16S ribosomal RNA". It matches the Rfam family "Bacterial small subunit ribosomal RNA", at positions 330 to 794 of the family's 1533-position model. The record is from RNAcentral.
UCCAGACUCCUACGGGAGGCAGCAGUGGGGGACAUUGCACAAUGGGGGGAACCCUGAUGCAGCGACGCCGCGUGGGUGAAGGAGCGUUUCGGCGCGUAAAGCCCUAUCGGCAGGGAAGAAGGAGGACGGUACCUGACUAAGAAGCCCCGGCUAACUACGUGCCAGCAGCCGCGGUAAUACGUAGGGGGCAAGCGUUAUCCGGAUUUACUGGGUGUAAAGGGGGCGCAGACGGCAGCGCAAGCCAGGAGUGAAAGCCCGGGGCCCAACCCCGGGACUGCUCUUGGAACUGCGCGGCUGGAGUGCAGGAGGGGCAGGCGGAAUUCCUGGUGUAGCGGUGAAAUGCGUAGAUAUCAGGAGGAACACCGGUGGCGAAGGCGGCCUGCUGGACUGCGACUGACGUUGAGGCGCGAAAGCGUGGGGAGCAAACAGGAUUAGAUACCCCCGUAUC